AAGACUACUUUCAGGGAUUAUUUCUAUAGUUCAUUACUAGAGAAGUUUCUCUGAUCGUGUGGAGUACUGGAAAUCCCAAGGAGAAUAACAUUCCCUUCACCUGAGGGUGAAGUCAGCUCUUGGUGCUGUUCAUUGCAGCUGCCAUUUGCCAUUGAUGAUUGUUGUUCUCCUUUGGAGGAGUAAGAAGGUGAGGAUGUCAUCUGAGUGAA
RNAcentral lists this small nucleolar RNA (209 nucleotides) under Castor canadensis (American beaver). RNAcentral describes it as "Small nucleolar RNA U3 (ENSCCNG00000018193.1)". It matches the Rfam family "Small nucleolar RNA U3". From Rfam's summary of the family: Small nucleolar RNAs (snoRNAs) are involved in the processing and modification of rRNA in the nucleolus. There are two main classes of snoRNAs: the box C/D class, and the box H/ACA class. The record is from Rfam by way of RNAcentral. Lineage: Eukaryota; Metazoa; Chordata; Mammalia; Rodentia; Castoridae.